Molecule: ribosomal RNA, 253 nt
Filed under: uncultured bacterium
Lineage: Bacteria
Description: partial 16S ribosomal RNA
Rfam family: Bacterial small subunit ribosomal RNA
Source: RNAcentral
UACGUAGGGACCGAGCGUUGUCCGGAUUCAUUGGGCGUAAAGAGCUCGUAGGCGGCCACUCAAGUCGAAUGUGAAACCUCGAGGCUUAACCUCGAGCCUGCAUUCGAUACUGGGCGGCUAGAGUCUGGUAGGGGGAUCUGGAAUUCCUGGUGUAGCGGUGGAAUGCGCAGAUAUCAGGAGGAACACCGGUGGCGAAGGCGGGAUCCUGGGCCAGUACUGACGCUGAGGAACGAAAGCUAGGGGAGCAAACAGG